GUAGGUGGCAAGCGUUGUCCGGAAUUAUUGGGCGUAAAGCGCGCGCAGGUGGUUCUUUAAGUCUGAUGUGAAAGACCCCCGGGCUCAACCGGGGAGGGUCAUUGGAAACUGGGAACUUGAGUGCAGGAGAGGAAAGUGGAAUUCCACGUGUAGCGGUGAAAUGCGUAGAUAUGUGGAGGAACACCAGUGGCGAAGGCGACUUUCUGGCCUGUAACUGACACUGAGGCGCGAAAGCGUGGGGAGCAAACAGGAUUAGAUACCCUGGUAGUCCACGCCGUAAACGAUGAGUGCUAAGUGUUGGGGGGUUUCCGCCCCUCAGUGCUGCAGCUAACGCAUUAAGCACUCCGCCUGGGGAGUACGGUCGCAAAGACUG
RNAcentral lists this ribosomal RNA (373 nucleotides) under uncultured organism. RNAcentral describes it as "partial 16S ribosomal RNA". It matches the Rfam family "Bacterial small subunit ribosomal RNA", at positions 527 to 896 of the family's 1533-position model. The record is from RNAcentral.